CGUGUAGGCGGGUGAAUAAGUCAGAAGUGAAAUCCAAUAGCUCAACUAUCGAACUGCUUUUGAAACUGUAUACCUAGAAUGUGGGAGAGGCAGACGGAAUUUCUGGUGUAGGGGUAAAAUCCGUAGAGAUCAGAAGGAAUACCGAUUGCGAAGGCGAUCUGCUGGAACAUUAUUGACGCUGAGACGCGAAAGCGUGGGGAGCAAACA
RNAcentral lists this ribosomal RNA (207 nucleotides) under uncultured bacterium. Its description in RNAcentral is "partial 16S ribosomal RNA". It matches the Rfam family "Bacterial small subunit ribosomal RNA", at positions 568 to 774 of the family's 1533-position model. The record is from RNAcentral.